Long non-coding RNA from Limulus polyphemus (Atlantic horseshoe crab), 156 nucleotides. RefSeq lists it as uncharacterized. The record is from RefSeq and is a predicted model, not a curated record. The transcript is spliced from 2 exons. NCBI's taxonomy places the organism in Eukaryota, Metazoa, Arthropoda, Merostomata, Xiphosura, Limulidae.
CUUUUUUCUCUCAAUAUUAUUCAUUCCUCGCUAUGACAACAAGAGGUUGUGUAAACGACCCAAAAUAUUAUGUUAUAUUUGUGGUAAAUUUGUUGUAAAUUUGAUCUAAGUAAGAGUUUUUUUUUCUUCCCGAUUUCUAAAAAAUCCUUACCUGAU